GAUGAACGCUGACAGAAUGCUUAACACAUGCAAGUCUACUUGAAUUUGGGUUUUUUAACUUAGAUUUGGGUGGCGGACGGGUGAGUAACGCGUAAAGAACUUGCCUCACAGCUAGGGACAACAUUUAGAAACGAAUGCUAAUACCUGAUAUUAUGAUUAUAAGGCAUCUUAGAAUUAUGAAAGCUAUAUGCGCUGUGAGAGAGCUUUGCGUCCCAUUAGCUAGUUGGAGAGGUAACGGCUCACCAAGGCGAUGAUGGGUAGCCGGCCUGAGAGGGUGAACGGCCACAAGGGGACUGAGACACGGCCCUUACUCCUACGGGAGGCAGCAUUGGGGAAUAUUGGACAAUGGACCAAGAGUCUGAUCCAGCAAUUCUGUGUGCACGAUGACGUUUUUCGGAAUGUAAAGUGCUUUCAGUUGGGAAGAAAAAAAUGACGGUACCAACAGAAGAAGUGACGGCUAAAUACGUG
RNAcentral lists this ribosomal RNA (468 nucleotides) under uncultured bacterium. RNAcentral's name for it is "partial 16S ribosomal RNA". It matches the Rfam family "Bacterial small subunit ribosomal RNA", at positions 28 to 507 of the family's 1533-position model. The record is from RNAcentral.